AUUUUUUUGUUGUUCUGGCCAAGGAUUCUGAGGUGUCUUCCUUGGUUGACUACAUCCAUGAGACGACAAAACACACUGUGCAAAGGACCUUGAGAACAUCACCACUCUACAGGAAGACACAGUCCAGUAAUGGGUGUCAGAUGUUCAGCAGUGGACGACAGGACCAACCAAUCAAAAUGACUUGCAGAACGCCAUUGAGGACUCUAUUUGAGCAUUAAGCAGCAAAGAUUUCAGCUGUAUCGUCAGACUGG
Molecule: long non-coding RNA, 251 nt
Organism: Hippoglossus stenolepis (Pacific halibut)
Lineage: Eukaryota; Metazoa; Chordata; Actinopteri; Pleuronectiformes; Pleuronectidae
Exons: 3
Source: RefSeq, a predicted model, not a curated record